Molecule: ribosomal RNA, 164 nt
Filed under: Astrocaryum jauari
Lineage: Eukaryota; Viridiplantae; Streptophyta; Magnoliopsida; Arecales; Arecaceae
Description: 5.8S ribosomal RNA
Rfam family: 5.8S ribosomal RNA
About the family: 5.8S ribosomal RNA (5.8S rRNA) is a component of the large subunit of the eukaryotic ribosome. It is transcribed by RNA polymerase I as part of the 45S precursor that also contains 18S and 28S rRNA.
Source: RNAcentral
CGUACGACUCUCGGCAAUGGAUAUCUCGGUUCUCGCAUCGAUGAAGAACGUAGCGAAAUGCGAUACCUGGUGUGAAUUGUAGAUUCCUGUGAACCACCAAGUCUUUGAAUGCAAGUUGCGCCCGAGGCCACCUAGCUGAGGGCAUGCCUGCCUGGGCAUCAUGC